GACGAACGCUGGCGGCGUGCUUAACACAUGCCAGUCGAACGGAAAGGCCCUGCUUUUGUGGGGUGCUCGAGUGGCGAACGGGUGAGUAACACGUGAGUAACCUGCCCUUGACUUUGGGAUAACUUCAGGAAACUGGGGCUAAUACCGGAUAGGAGCUCCUGCUGCAUGGUGGGGGUUGGAAAGUUUCGGCGGUUGGGGAUGGACUCGCGGCUUAUCAGCUUGUUGGUGGGGUAGUGGCUUACCAAGGCUGUGACGGGUAGCCGGCCUGAGAGGGUGACCGGCCACAUUGGGACUGAGAUACGGCCCAGACUCCUACGGGAGGCAGCAGUGGGGAAUAUUGCACAAUGGGCGGAAGCCUGAUGCAGCAACGCCGCGUGCGGGAUGACGGCCUUCGGGUUGUAAACCGCUUUCGCCUGUGACGAAGCGUGAGUGACGGUAAUGGGUAAAGAAGCACCGGCUAACUACGUG
This 468-nucleotide ribosomal RNA is filed under the name uncultured bacterium. Its description in RNAcentral is "partial 16S ribosomal RNA". It matches the Rfam family "Bacterial small subunit ribosomal RNA", at positions 28 to 507 of the family's 1533-position model. The record is from RNAcentral.